Molecule: ribosomal RNA, 794 nt
Filed under: uncultured archaeon
Lineage: Archaea
Description: bacterial SSU rRNA
Rfam family: Archaeal small subunit ribosomal RNA
Source: RNAcentral
ACUGCUCAGUAACACGUGGAUAACUUACCCAAGAGUCCGGGAUAACCCCGGGAAACUGGGGAUAAUACCGGAUAGGUCAAACUUGCUGGGAGGCUGUUUGGUUGAAACCUCCGGGGCUUUUGGAUGGGUCUGCGGCUGAUUAGGUUGUUGCCGGUGUAACGUACCGUCAAGCCUGUAAUCAGUACGGGUUGUGGGAGCAAGAGCCCGGAGAUGGAUUCUGAGACACGAAUCCAGGCCCUACGGGGCGCAGCAGGCGCGAAAACUCUACAAUGCAGGCAACUGCGAUAGGGGAACAUCGAGUGGCGUCCAUAUUGGAUGUCUGUCCUCCCGCCUAAAAAGCGGGAGUUAGCAAGGGCCGGGCAAGACCGGUGCCAGCCGCCGCGGUAAUACCGGCGGCUCGAGUGGUGGCCGAUAUUAUUGAGUCUAAAGGGUCCGUAGCCGGCUUUGCAAGUCUCUCGGGAAAUCCAGCGGCUUAACCGUUGGUCGUCCGGGAGAUACUACAUUGCUUGGGACUGGGAGAGGUAGGAGGUACUCAGGGGGUAGGAGUGAAAUCCUGUAAUCCUUUGGGGACCACCGGUGGCGAAGGCGUCCUACCAGAACAGGUCCGACGGUGAGGGACGAAAGCUAGGGGCACGAACCGGAUUAGAUACCCGGGUAGUCCUAGCCGUAAACGAUGCUCGCUAGGUGUCACAACAAUCGUGAAUUGUUUGUGGUGCCGUAGGGAAGCCGUGAAGCGAGCCACUUGGGAAGUACAACCGCAAGGUUGAAACUUAAAGGAAUUGGCGGGGGAGCAC